Molecule: ribosomal RNA, 363 nt
Filed under: Listeria monocytogenes
Lineage: Bacteria; Bacillati; Bacillota; Bacilli; Caryophanales; Listeriaceae
Description: bacterial SSU rRNA
Rfam family: Bacterial small subunit ribosomal RNA
Source: RNAcentral
AUAAACUGGAGGAAGGUGGGGAUGACGUCAAGUCAUCAUGGCCCUUACGACCAGGGCUACACACGUGCUACAAUGGCGCAUACAAAGAGAAGCGACCUCGCGAGAGCAAGCGGACCUCAUAAAGUGCGUCGUAGUCCGGAUUGGAGUCUGCAACUCGACUCCAUGAAGUCGGAAUCGCUAGUAAUCGUGGAUCAGAAUGCCACGGUGAAUACGUUCCCGGGCCUUGUACACACCGCCCGUCACACCAUGGGAGUGGGUUGCAAAAGAAGUAGGUAGCUUAACCUUCGGGAGGGCGCUUACCACUUUGUGAUUCAUGACUGGGGUGAAGUCGUAACAAGGUAACCGUAGGGGAACCUGCGGUUG